RNAcentral lists this unclassified non-coding RNA (217 nucleotides) under uncultured Tomentella. Its description in RNAcentral is "sequence contains ITS2". RNAcentral also lists the same sequence under 1 other name. Lineage: Eukaryota; Fungi; Basidiomycota; Agaricomycetes; Thelephorales; Thelephoraceae. The record is from RNAcentral.
ACACCUCAACUCUCAUGGUUUACCAUGAUGGGCUUGGACUUUGGAGGUCUUGCUGGCCAGUGGGCCAGCUCCUCUCAAAUGAAUUGGCUUGCCAGUGUUUGGUGGCAUCACGGGUGUGAUAACUAUCUACGCUUGUGGUUUUCCACCAGGUAACCUCCAGUGAUGGAGGUUCGCUGGAGCUCACAAAUGUCUCUCCUUGCGAGGACGAUUUCUGAAC